AAUGCCUCUUAAUAGUGUUCAGUUAUUUCUAGAACCCUGAAAGUUUGUGGAAAUCCACCUAGAACAGGGGUGGGGAACCUGUGACCUCGAGGCCACAUGUGGCUUUCUAGAUCCUUGGGUGAGGCCUUUUGACUGAGUCCAAGUUUUAUAGAACAAAUCCUUUCAUUAAGGGGGUUUUUUCUCUGAAGUUUGGAUUCAGUCAAAGGGCUGUGCUUGAGGACCUAGAGGGUGGCCUCGAGGCUGCAGGUUCCUCACCCGUGACCUAGAAGGAAAACUUAUUGAGAGAUUUGAAGACAGGACAGGGAAAGUAAGCUACUGGUUUGGUCCCCAGAAGAAGAUGACUGGAGAAUCUAGUAGAUGGGGGGAUGAAUGAAAGGUGGGCAGAGAGAUUGAGCGAGAAAUUUCAGGAGAAACCACCCAUGAGAAUGACCAUAUCCUGUAAGCCACUAAUGAGGAUUUUUUGCACUAAAUCUCACAGGACCAACAGGUUUCGUAAACUUGUAUGCUUCUCCUACAGGUCCUUCCCCUAAGGGCAAAGCCACUGUGAAUACAGAGAGCCCAGAGGAUUCCAGCGAAGAGGAAAUGAUAGAGCCUUCCCAGUCUGUCCUUUCAGGUUAUGCAUUUCCCAGUUCAUCUCUCCCUGUAUCCAUAAACCCUCAGCUACAGAAGGCACCUCCCAAGCAAAGACUUGCAGCGAUUGCCUCUGCAGGCCCAGCUCUGCCAGUGUCUUACAAAGGAAGUCCUCAGAGUGACAGCAGUGAUUCUGAGGUAGAGUGCAAGACAGAAUCAGAAGAGCAGCCUCCCCAGACUGGGAAAAAAUUGAAGACCUCAGUCUCCAGGCAUCAGUCGAUUGGAAAGGGGUUCAAGUCAGGCGCAGUCGAUUGUAAACCUGCCUCACCCAAACAUGGGAUCAGCUGUCAGAGUCCCGUAAAGUCUAUGGAUCCUUCCAACCUCCCUUCUCUAAUUCGGCUACAGAUCUCAAGUGCUGAUGAGAACUCAGAGCUUAACAAUGCAUCUCUCAACUCCAAGGCCUCUGGAAUAAGAAUGCUCAGUGACUUGCUGAAGCUAGAAAAGAAGAAUAAAAGUACUGAAUCCUCAAAGUCAGGCAAGGGGAGCAAGAAAUCAAAAUCAAAACGAAAACUGACAGAAGACAGCCCUGUUGCUAAAGCCCCCAAGAGCAAGAAGAAGAAGUUGAUGAGUGAGGUCCCUAAGGAAGGGGAGACUUUGCAAGAAAAAACCAUUGGGACUACCAAGGUGGGGAAAAAAGAGAAAGCAAGUGGUGAUGCUAAAGAAAAGAAGCCAAAGGGGGUUCAUAGCUCCAAGAAGAACAAAGAGAAGCCACAAGGAAACAUUACAGUCACAGUGGGAGAAAGUGGAAAAACGCUAGGCCCCAAGACCAAAAAAGAGAAGAAGCAAAAGAAGAAAUCUGACAAGAAGAAAAAGAGCAAGGACAAAAAGGAUAAGAAGAAGAAAAAGCAGUCCAUUUCCAAAAAUCCUGACCCUGCCUCAGUAUCCCUCAAGAAAGAGAAGAAAAAGGAUUUCUCUAGCCAAGUCUUGAAUGUCGAUGUCAACCUCCCACUUGGGGGAAAAAAAACCCAACCAAAUCCCAGCAUGACCCGUGAGCCAGUGGAUCCAGCAGGAGCGCACUAGGGCACCGAGAGAGCGCACUGCACUCAAAUGUGUCCCUAAUGAAUUGAGUGAUCUCCAUAGAGAUUAUACCCAAUAUUUAUAUAUGUAUGUAUAUGUAUGUAUAUAUAUAUAUAUGUACAGUAUUUUUUUAAAAGAGAGACUCUCCCUUUCUCCCACUGACAUUCCUUUGGUACUCCUUGGCUGCAGAGCCUUUCCUUCCAAACUUUGCCUAGAAGACCUGGGGAAUGCCACGGCUGCCCCUGUGGAGACAGAGCUCAUCCUCAUGGAAUCUUGGUCUCAAGCAGGUGGCUGCACUUGAGUGGCUUUCCUGUGUCUUAACUUUUUAUCUAACGUGUUUAUACAGAACUCUGCAAAUAAAAGAUUGGUGUGGAAGAGUCCCUGACUGCUG
RNAcentral lists this long non-coding RNA (2038 nucleotides) under Phascolarctos cinereus (koala). RNAcentral describes it as "lncRNA (ENSPCIG00000014628.2)". The record is from RNAcentral. Lineage: Eukaryota; Metazoa; Chordata; Mammalia; Diprotodontia; Phascolarctidae.